CAGGCUUAACACAUGCAAGUCGAGGGGCAGCAUGGUCUUAGCUUGCUAAGGCCGAUGGCGACCGGCGCACGGGUGAGUAACGCGUAUCCAACCUGCCUUACACUCUUGGACAGCCUUCUGAAAGGGAGAUUAAUACAAGAUGUUAUCAUGAGUAAGCAUUUUCGCAUGAUUAAAGGUUUACCGGUGUAAGAUGGGGAUGCGUUCCAUUAGAUAGUAGGCGGGGUAACGGCCCACCUAGUCUUCGAUGGAUAGGGGUUCUGAGAGGAAGGUCCCCCACAUUGGAACUGAGACACGGUCCAAACUCCUACGGGAGGCAGCAGUGAGGAAUAUUGGUCAAUGGACGAGAGUCUGAACCAGCCAAGUAGCGUGAAGGAUGAAGGUUCUAUGGAUUGUAAACUUCUUUUAUACGGGAAUAAACGAAUCCACGCGUGGAUUUUUGCAUGUACCGUAUGAAUAAGGAUCGGCUAACUCCGUGCCAGCAGCCGCGGUAAUACGGAGGAUCCGAGCGUUAUCCGGAUUUAUUGGGUUUAAAGGGAGCGUAGAUGGGUUGUUAAGUCAGUUGUGAAAGUUUGCGGCUCAACCGUAAAAUUGCAAUUGAUACUGGCAGUCUUGAGUACAGUUGAGGUAGGCGGAAUUCGUGGUGUAGCGGUGAAAUGCUUAGAUAUCACGAAGAACUCCGAUUGCGAAGGCAGCUUACUAACCUGUAACUGACAUUGAUGCUCGAAAGUGUGGGUAUCAAACAGGAUUAGAUACCCUGGUAGUCCACACGGUAAACGAUGAAUACUCGCUGUAGGCGAUAUACAGUCUGCGGCCAAGCGAAAGCAUUAAGUAUUCCACCUGGGGAGUACGCCGGCAACGGUGAAACUCAAAGGAAUUGACGGGGGCCCGCACAAGCGGAGGAACAUGUGGUUUAAUUCGAUGAUACGCGAGGAACCUUACCCGGGCUUAAAUUGCAACCGAAUAUGGCGGAAACGCUAUAGCUAGCAAUAGCGGUUGUGAAGGUGCUGCAUGGUUGUCGUCAGCUCGUGCCGUGAGGUGUCGGCUUAAGUGCCAUAACGAGCGCAACCCUUGCCGAUAGUUACUAACAGGUCAUGCUGAGGACUCUGUCGGGACUGCCAUCGUAAGAUGUGAGGAAGGUGGGGAUGACGUCAAAUCAGCACGGCCCUUACGUCCGGGGCUACACACGUGUUACAAUGGGGGGUACAGAGGGCUGCUACCACGCAAGUGGAUGCCAAUCCCAAAAACCUCUCUCAGUUCGGAUUGAAGUCUGCAACCCGACUUCAUGAAGCUGGAUUCGCUAGUAAUCGCGCAUCAGCCACGGCGCGGUGAAUACGUUCCCGGGCCUUGUACACACCGCCCGUCAAGCCAUGGGAGCCGGGGGUACCUGAAGUGCGUAACCGCAAGGAGCGCCCUAGGGUAAAACUGGUGACUGGG
This 1434-nucleotide ribosomal RNA is filed under the name uncultured organism. RNAcentral's name for it is "16S ribosomal RNA". It matches the Rfam family "Bacterial small subunit ribosomal RNA". The record is from RNAcentral.